Molecule: long non-coding RNA, 1542 nt
Filed under: Androctonus crassicauda
Lineage: Eukaryota; Metazoa; Arthropoda; Arachnida; Scorpiones; Buthidae
Source: RNAcentral
AAAACACGGAAAAAUAGUACAAGUAAAUACAUUGAUUAAAAAAAUUGUUAAUAUAACUAAUAUAAGAUGAUAAAAGUUCAUAAUGACAUUAAUUGCAGACUAGUAAUACAUUAAUCCAGAAUGCAUGAUACCAUACAUUUAGUACAUUACUAGCUUGGCCAUUGUUGAUGACAUUAAAGUGUUGACCUGUUGGAAAUUAACAGUUUAAGAAUUGUUCCUUUCUUUGAGCAACUUCCACUGCCUAAUCAUUUUUGCCUCUUUCCAGUCAAUGUCUAGGUUGUAUUCAUUGGAUCUUGAGAGAGCAGAAGUCUGAUCAAGUCGGCUGUCUUGUUUAUGCUCUGCCAAGUGAUUUCCUAAAUUGCUUGGUGACAUCAAUGUACUCUUCUCACUGGUGUAGAUAAAAAUGUACGGGUCUGGAUCAUGAUUAUAUAGUGAAAUUGGGUAGGUCCUGGUUCAUUUGCUGGCAUGGUAAUGGGAUUUGUCAUUUUGUAAUCUUUUUUUGUACAGAGUUGGAUGCCUGAUGGUUAUCAUCCUUAUGUUUAGUUUCUUAGCAAUAUUCUUAAUCAUAUUAAGCUUGGAUACCCUAUAUGUAGUUUGGCAGUCCUUCAUUGUUUUCUUGAAUAAAUGUGUAGCAGGUUAGGCUUGGUUAGUCCUUGGAUAACUUCAUAAAUUUAUAUUUAUAACUGUAAUUUUUAAUACAGAGUAUGAUCUUAUAGAAGUUUAUUUAAUCUUAAAAAAUCCCUGGCAACAAGCUUAGAGGCUAUGACUAUACCAUCAAUUCCUCAGAAGACUUUAUUAAUGAAAUCAAUGCUGCUUCCUUUGAAUAAUGAAAUUACAAAUGUACUUGAUUUUGAGGAGCUAUUUCUAUCCUUAAAAGUUUCUACCAAGGUGCCUAGCUAUAUACAGAUUCUUCUCACAAAUCUUUCUGAACUGAUAGUAGCCCACCAUUUUAAGAGAAUGCUGUGAUAUUCUCUGCUAUGAAUCAUACUUUGCCUGUAAUGGAAAUUUUUAAAAUUAAAAACAAGAUGUCGCCAUAGGAGAUCCUAUGGCAGAUUCUGCUAAGGCAUAUGGAAUCCUACAUCAUUGACAAUUUCUAAGCAUCAGUUAAAAUCUACCUGCACUAUGUUGAUGAUAUUUAUGUUACUUGGAAUGAUCAUAAUAGAUUGCUAGAAUUGUUGGAUGCCUUUACCUCUAUGAAUGCUACUUGAAGCUAAACUUAGAACAAUGCAAUUGUAGUUUUUUGAUUCACUUCCUAGACAUUAAUAUUAAAAUCAAGCAAAGGCAAUACAAAACUACAGUUUAUAGAAAACUGACAUAUUGUCCUGCCCUCAUAUGACCUAUUAAACAGUAAAAAGGCAGCCUUCCAUUAAUUUUUUUGAAGGAUUUUCAAAAUACUGCUUCACAAAUGAAAGCCAGCAUGAUGAAUUCUAUAAGAUCAUAUCCUUGGGUAAAAAUUAUGAUUAAAAAUAUAAAUUUGGGAAAUCUGUGAAAGAAUUAAAGAGAUAUCUACUAUUGCACUUCGGUGGACUGGCCAAUCCUGAC